GGACGUGAGGGUGAUCUGGUUGUGACAUCUGUCACCUCAGAUUGCCAGGUUUGAUUUUGCUGGUCUGGCUGGCUGGGGGUGGUGUCCCCUUCCUCCCUUCCUCCUCCAUGUGUGUUCCUCCUGAAGCUGGGUUUGGUGAAGAUGAUGACCUAUCCCAAUGGAAGGGGGCUGUUCUUAGGUCAAGGGUAUAUAAGUAGCUGUGAUCCCCUGCUAGAGCCUCCAAAUAAGCCCUCAAGCUCUAAAGGAGGCAGCCAACAUGGUCUUUGCAGCUACACUUGGUUAAAGUUACUCUCCAGC
Molecule: small nuclear RNA, 297 nt
Filed under: Marmota monax (woodchuck)
Lineage: Eukaryota; Metazoa; Chordata; Mammalia; Rodentia; Sciuridae
Description: 7SK RNA
Rfam family: 7SK RNA
About the family: 7SK was discovered as an abundant small nuclear RNA in the mid-70s but a possible function has only recently been suggested. Two independent studies have found that 7SK RNA binds the CDK9/cyclin T complex (known as elongation factor P-TEFb).
Source: Rfam by way of RNAcentral